GACGAACGCUGGCGGCGUGCUUAACACAUGCAAGUCGAACGGAAAGGCCCUGCUUUUGUGGGUUGCUCGAGUGGCGAACGGGUGAGUAACACGUGAGUAACCUGCCCUUGACUUUGGGAUAACUUCAGGAAACUGGGGCUAAUACCGGAUAGGAGCUCCUGCUGCAUGGUGGGGGUUGGAAAGUUUCGGCGGUUGGGGAUGGACUCGCGGCUUAUCAGCUUGUUUGUGGGGUAGUGGCUUACCAAGGCUUUGACGGGUAGCCGGCCUGAGAGGGUGACCGGCCACAUUGGGACUGAGAUACGGCCGAGGCUCCUACGGGAGGCAGCAGUGGGGAAUAUUGCAGAAUGGGCGGAAGCCUGAUGCAGCAACGCCGCGUGCGGGAUGACGGCCUUCGGGUUGUAAACCGAUUUCGCAUGUGACGAAGCGUGAGUGACGGUAAUGGGUAAAGAAGCACCGGCUAACUACGUG
Molecule: ribosomal RNA, 468 nt
Filed under: uncultured bacterium
Lineage: Bacteria
Description: partial 16S ribosomal RNA
Rfam family: Bacterial small subunit ribosomal RNA
Source: RNAcentral